GUCUCAGUUCGGAUUGGAGUCUGCAACUCGACUCCAUGAAGCUGGAUUCGCUAGUAAUCGCGCAUCAGCCAUGGCGCGGUGAAUACGUUCCCGGGCCUUGUACACACCGCCCGUCAAGCCAUGGAAGCCGGGAGUGCCUGAAGUGUGCAACCGCAAGGAGCGCCCUAAGGUAAAACUGGUGACUGGGGCUAAGUCGUAACAAGGUACC
RNAcentral lists this ribosomal RNA (208 nucleotides) under uncultured bacterium. RNAcentral describes it as "partial 16S ribosomal RNA". It matches the Rfam family "Bacterial small subunit ribosomal RNA", at positions 1285 to 1500 of the family's 1533-position model. The record is from RNAcentral.